CCCAGUAAAAUAUAAACACGUGUCCAAGUUUAUCUCUUUAUUUUAACGCCGUUAGCCUUGUCAUUAACAUUCUUUUUCUGGGUUUAUUCUGGUACGACUACCCAUCUUGUCCGAUAGAAAUAAGCCAACCGUCUGCGUCGAUUCUCACUUCUGCCAUAAGAUUGUUAAUUUUCCAGAUCUUGUUUUGCAGAAAUCCAAUUACUAUAACGACGAUUUACUCUCCAUUCCUCCCACUGUUGUGCCUGAAACAGUGUUGCCAAAUAUUUGAAGAAAACCAGAGAGAAAUUUCAAUUAAUUUUAUUUUGAAGAAAAUCAAAUUAAAACAAAUAACAAUAAUAAUAUGAUAAGGUAAUGUAAGGUAAGAAACAAAUGCAACCAGAGCUACAUGAGGUGGAUGCCAUGUGCGAGUUGAAAUCCGCAGGCGAGGUGAAAGUGCUCCGCAAACGUUUGGUGAGCAAAAAAAAAAAAUUGAAACGGUGUUAAAUUG
RNAcentral lists this long non-coding RNA (487 nucleotides) under Trifolium pratense (red clover). RNAcentral's name for it is "long non-coding RNA (TPRA_LNC000298)". Lineage: Eukaryota; Viridiplantae; Streptophyta; Magnoliopsida; Fabales; Fabaceae. The record is from RNAcentral.